Molecule: ribosomal RNA, 483 nt
Filed under: uncultured bacterium
Lineage: Bacteria
Description: partial 16S ribosomal RNA
Rfam family: Bacterial small subunit ribosomal RNA
Source: RNAcentral
AUUGAACGCUGGCGGCAUGCCUUACACAUGCAAGUCGAACGGCAGCGCGGACUUCGGUCUGGCGGCGAGUGGCGAACGGGUGAGAAUACAUCGGAACGUACCCUGUUGUGGGGGAUAACUAGUCGAAAGAUUAGCUAAUACCGCAUACGACCUGAGGGUGAAAGUGGGGGACCGCAAGGCCUCACGCAGCAGGAGCGGCCGAUGUCUGAUUAGCUAGUUGGUGGGGUAAAGGCCCACCAAGGCGACGAUCAGUAGCUGGUCUGAGAGGACGAUCAGCCACACUGGGACUGAGACACGGCCCAGACUCCUACGGGAGGCAGCAGUGGGGAAUUUUGGACAAUGGGGGCAACCCUGAUCCAGCAAUGCCGCGUGUGUGAAGAAGGCCUUCGGGUUGUAAAGCACUUUUGUCCGGAAAGAAAUCGCGCUGGUUAAUACCUGGCGUGGAUGACGGUACCGGAAGAAUAAGCACCGGCUAACUACGUG